Molecule: ribosomal RNA, 282 nt
Filed under: Schmidingerella taraikaensis
Lineage: Eukaryota; Ciliophora; Spirotrichea; Tintinnida; Rhabdonellidae
Description: partial Bacterial small subunit ribosomal RNA
Rfam family: Bacterial small subunit ribosomal RNA
Source: RNAcentral
GAACGCUGGCGGAAGGCUUAACACAUGCAAGUCGAGCGCACCCUUCGGGGUGAGCGGCAGACGGGUGAGUAACGCGUGGGAACGUGCCCUUUAGUUCAGAAUAGCCACUGGAAACGGUGAGUAAUACUGCAUACGCCCUUCGGGGGAAAGAUUUAUCGGAGAAGGAUCGGCCCGCGUUAGAUUAGAUAGUUGGUGGGGUAACGGCCUACCAAGUCUACGAUCUAUAGCUGGUUUUAGAGGAUGAUCAGCAACACUGGGACUGAGACACGGCCCAGACUCCUA